ACUUACGACAGAGCCUUAGCCUUGUUAUAAAACUUGGACCAGCUGUAGGGCUAGCCGGCGGGUUGAUCUUGGAACGGCAGGUGGAGAGUCGAACAUUAGACAGAGAAUUCACAAACUGGAUUUUGAGUGAGGCAUGUACUGGCCCCAUCAUCAGGUAAACAGCUGGGACCAUCCUCAACCGCAAUCGUGAACAGUCGUGUCAUUCCGGCAUAGCCUACGGAAAAGAGCGAGAGACGAUCCAUAACGGAUCUCCAUGGAGACCGCUGUUUACACGACGCCAUUUUGGUUGUUGCUGCUACACUUCGUUUCCUCGUCAGUGUUUGCAUUUCGCUCUUUAUCCCGCACGUAUCCCACGUUCUGCACGAUGUAUGCUUCUGUUGCUUUGGCCUAUCAUCAAGUUGACAAACACUUCUCCACACAAUCGUAAAGGUUGUCAAGACUGGAGACGGUUUGCAACCAACUGAAAUGGAAGUCGCAGACAUGGAAGAAACGUGAAAACGACAAAACUGAAUCGACUACACUGUGUCCUCUAAGAUUUUCAGAAUAAAAAUGAAUCGUUCAU
This 562-nucleotide long non-coding RNA is filed under the name Haliotis rubra (blacklip abalone). Its description in RNAcentral is "uncharacterized LOC124282094, transcript variant X2". Lineage: Eukaryota; Metazoa; Mollusca; Gastropoda; Lepetellida; Haliotidae. The record is from RNAcentral.